Molecule: ribosomal RNA, 492 nt
Filed under: uncultured bacterium
Lineage: Bacteria
Description: partial 16S ribosomal RNA
Rfam family: Bacterial small subunit ribosomal RNA
Source: RNAcentral
AGUGAACGCUGGCGGUAGGCCUAACACAUGCAAGUCGAACGGCAGCACAGUAAGAGCUUGCUCUUACGGGUGGCGAGUGGCGGACGGGUGAGGAAUACAUCGGAAUCUACUUUUUCGUGGGGGAUAACGUAGGGAAACUUACGCUAAUACCGCAUACGCCCUACGGGUGAAAGCAGGGGAUCUUCGGACCUUGCGCGAUUGAAUGAGCCGAUGUCGGAUUAGCUAGUUGGCGGGGUAAAGGCCCACCAAGGCGACGAUCCGUAGCUGGUCUGAGAGGAUGAUCAGCCACACUGGAGCUGAGACACGGACCAUGGUCCUACGGGAGGCAGCAGUGGGGAAUAUUGGACAAUGGGCGCAAGCCUGGCACAGUGAUCGCGCGUGUGUGAAGAAGGCGUCGGGGUUGUAAAGCCCUUUUGUGGGGAAAGAACAGCAGCAGGUUAAUACCACGCUGUUCUGACGGUACCCAAAGAAUAAGCACCGGCUAACUUCGUG